Molecule: ribosomal RNA, 497 nt
Filed under: uncultured bacterium
Lineage: Bacteria
Description: partial 16S ribosomal RNA
Rfam family: Bacterial small subunit ribosomal RNA
Source: RNAcentral
GAUGAACGCUGGCGGCGUGCCUAAUACAUGCAAGUCGAGCGAACGGACGAGAAGCUUGCUUCUCUGAUGUUAGCGGCGGACGGGUGAGUAACACGUGGAUAACCUACCUAUAAGACUGGGAUAGCUUCGGGAAACCGGAGCUAAUACCGGAUAAUAUUUUGAACCGCAUGGUUCAAAAGUGAAAGACGGUCUUGCUGUCACUUAUAGAUGGAUCCGCGCUGCAUUAGCUAGUUGGUAAGGUAACGGCUUACCAAGGCAACGAUGCAUAGCCGACCUGAGAGGGUGAUCGGCCACACUGGAACUGAGACACGGUCCAGACUCCUACGGGAGGCAGCAGUAGGGAAUCUUCCGCAAUGGGCGAAAGCCUGACGGAGCAACGCCGCGUGAGUGAUGAAGGUCUUCGGAUCGUAAAACUCUGUUAUUAGGGAAGAACAUAUGUGUAAGUAACUGUGCACAUCUUGACGGUACCUAAUCAGAAAGCCACGGCUAACUACGUG